UACUGGGCGUAAAGCGCGUGUAGGUGGUUUGGUAAGUAGGGCGUGAAAGCUCCUGGCUCAACUGGGAGAGGACGUUCUAAACUGCCAAGCUUGAGGAUGGUAGAGGGAGGUGGAAUUCCGGGUGCAGCGGUGGAAUGCGCAGAUAUCCGGAGGAACACCAGUGGCGAAGGCGGCCUCCUGGACCACUCCUGACACUCAGACGCGAAAGCUAGGGUAGCAAACGGGAUUAGAGACCCCGGUAGUCCUAGCCCUAAACGAUGUAGACUUGGCGUCGGUGGUUUAAUCGCCAUCGGUGUCGUAGCUAACGCGUUAAGUCUACCGCCUGGGGACUACGGCCGCAAGGUUAAAACUCAAAGGAAUUGACGGGUCCCCGCACAAGCAGCGGAGCGUGUGGUUUAAUUCGAUGCUACACGAAGAACCUUACCUGGGUUUGACAUAGAGGUAGUAGGGAAGCGAAAGCGGACCGACCCUUCGGGGAGCCUCUACAGGUGUUGCAUGGCUGUCGUCAGCUCGUGUCGUGAGAUGUUCGGUUAAGUCCGCUAACGAGCGCAACCCUCGCUGUGUGUUACAAGUGUCACACGGUACUGCCGAUAUUAAGUCGGAGGAAGGUGGGGAUGACGUCAAGUCAGCAUGACCUUUAUAUCCAGGGCUACACACACGCUACAAUGGCCAGUACAAUGGGUUGCCGAGCCGCGAGGCGGAGCCAAUCCUAAAAAGCUGGCCUCAGUUCAGACUGCAGUCUGCAACUCGACUGCAUGAAGUUGGAGUUGCUAGUAACCGCAGGUCAGCAAUACUGCGGUGAAUACGUUCCCGGGGAUUGCACACACCGCCCGUAAGGGCG
Molecule: ribosomal RNA, 841 nt
Filed under: uncultured Chloroflexota bacterium
Lineage: Bacteria; Bacillati; Chloroflexota
Description: bacterial SSU rRNA
Rfam family: Bacterial small subunit ribosomal RNA
Source: RNAcentral